RNAcentral lists this unclassified non-coding RNA (400 nucleotides) under uncultured fungus. Its description in RNAcentral is "sequence contains ITS1". The stretch from base 1 to 105 matches the Rfam family "5.8S ribosomal RNA", at positions 50 to 154 of the family's 154-position model. Lineage: Eukaryota; Fungi. The record is from RNAcentral.
GAAAUGCGAUAAGUAGUGUGAAUUGCAGAAUUCAGUGAAUCAUCGAAUCUUUGAACGCACAUUGCGCUUCCUGGUAUUCCGGGGAGCAUGCCCGUUUCAGAAUCAUUGAGGAAAAGUCGACUGGGGUUGGAGGUCGCUGCACACCCCAACGGCGUGCGGUGCCAACAAGCUUGGUUGGAUGUGGACGUCUGCAGGCUUGCAGUCGUCUGAAAGACAGCGUGUUCGUGUCGACUUUCCGGCCUGAGGUGGGACCAAGUGCAACAGAUUUUUUCUAUUUCGCUUCCUACCACCACGGGGAUGGCGUCGGUUCGAGCUUGAAGGGUGACGAGGGCCCUUCUGGGGCCCUGGGCCAAAAUGGAUUCACUAACUUGAUCUGAAAUCGGGCAGGAAAACCCGCUGA